GGACAUUUAUCCUCCCAAUUGAUCUUCUGUCUGUCGACUGAUACAAGGCAAGAAUUUAUGUUCUAUUGGAAUCUAAAUUGAAUGUUUGACUGGAUGAACUUUAAAUAACAGAAUUUGGUAUAUAAGGUUGACUUGUUUCAUGUUACAGUGAAAUCCUAAAGUCCGUAAAUCCUUAUAUAAGAAAUUAUGUACAAAAUACCGGUGAAACAAGUAACAAGGAGAUAAGAAAAUAAGAAGAAUAAGUAUCGAGUGGUUUUGAUAAAUUAAGGUUCCAGUACUUUUGUUUAAGAGAAAAACGUUUCGACCACUUUUGCGAAAUUAAAGUUCGGACGCUUUUGUUUGGCUAAUAAGCAAGUGUCUUUGAAGUUUGAGAAUAAGUAUCGAGUGGUUUUGAUAAAUUAAGGUUUGAGUACUUUUGUUUGGAUGAAAUGUCAAGUACUUUUGUUUAAGAGAAAAAAGUUUAGACCACUUUUGCGAAAUUAAAGUUCGGACGCUUUUGUUUGGCUAAUAAGCAAGUGUCUUUGAAGUAUGAGAAAUAAAGGAUUUUUAUUUGUGGAUCCACAAAAAAUAAGUACUUAAGAAGAAAAAACAGCUGAAAAAUGGAAGGGGAAUUCAAUCGAGAAUCGGAAUGGUUCGACUUGCGUGUCAUUCCAGACCAUGGUCAAAAAAUACUGUUAAGUGAGCAAGUAAAGAAUGCAUGUGAUGUAUGUGUGGGAGGAUUGUCUGAGAAAGAUAGACAGGGAAAGAAAGAACAACCGUAUAAAUGGAUGAAUGAAUUCUGUGAGGAUGGCUGGUUCCCUCCAUUAUCAACUGCUGCCUGUUUAGUUUCACUGAUGAAGGAAGUCGAGAGUGAGUUAAAAAAAAAAAAAAAAAGUUAAACCAAAUAGGAGCGUUUACGGUGGACUUAAAUAGACACCCUGAAGUGCCACAAAAGGUAAGAGAACAGCUUUUAGCGCGUGCUUCCCGUUUUGAGAAAACUGUUAACGCUGAAAUAACAGAACAGAUGCAGCGUGAAAAAGCGGAACGAGAUAAAAUAUUCAGACAAAGGGAACAGGAGAUAGCAGCAGAGGAAGCUCAGAAGGGGCUUCCCCAUGCGGUCGCAAACACUUAUCACAUCGCACAUUUGCAAAAUCAGGUGGCUGACUUAAAGUACCAAGUGCAGACUUUGUCAGGAACACACCCGGACUCCCUGUUACAACAGACACAAUAAAAUAAAAGUGCGCCCCCUUUUGCUGAAUCCACUCCACUGCGACCAAUGACACGCUCUCAAACUGUUGUCCAAGCUCCAAUGCUGGCCAAGGUUGAUCCGGCUACUGGAGCCACUGCCAUGUUUUAUAAACCUCUUUCUCCUUCUGAUCUAAGUGUUUUGAUGCAGAAACUUCCGCCAAUGCAGAAUGGAGGAGAGAACUGGCUGAGAUCGGUACAAAGGGCUGUCACAGGACAAAUUUUAACAGCAGGAGACAUGCGCGCAUUGUUGACACAUGCGUGUCCCCUCUCCCAACUGGAAACACUGAUGAAGAAUUCUUGUCUGAUAAGUAUAAUGGACAAUGAGGCACUCACAAGAGAGUAUUACUUAACGUUGUUCACUGCACUAAGCGCGUUGUUUCCCAUUCCUGAUCUAGUCAUCUCCAACUUAGUAUUUGCUCCUAGAACAGAUGAGGAAGCAGCGGCAUAUAUUGACCGCGCUCUUGUUGAAUAUUCUUCAAAAACAGGCCAUUUACCAACUGACUCUGCUCUGUAUUCUCAAGUAUUUAGAGCAGCAGUGCUGAAGGGCGUUCCCAAGUCUGUGGUGCAAGCCAUGGAGGCGAAUCCGGACCUUCCUGGAGCAGAUCAUGCUCGCUGGUUGUCACAUCUGAAACACCACUUGAGGAGACAUGCAAAAGAAAAAGAGUCAAAGCAUGAGAAACACAGAACCACCGAAUCGCAAUUAGCUAUAAUGCAACUACAAAGUCUCAAAAAACAAGAAGAAAAUAUUAAAAUCACACCUGUGGCUUCCGUUGGGGCCUCGCUACCUAAUGUUGUUUCUGAGUGCAUGAUGUAUCAAACAGGGCCAUUCAUGGGUCGAGGUGCUCCGUUUGCUGGCAGAAAUCAAUGCUUCAGCUGUGGUCGUAACGGACACUGGGCAAGAGACUGCCGAGCGCGUCCCCUGGAGGGCAGAGACAGAGGAGGAAGUGGCCCGCCUAGAGGCGUGGUUAUGGCCAGCAAAGAGGAAGAGGAUACGGACAGCAACAGCAGCAGGUUAUGACUCAACAAUAUCCGCAGCAGAAGUCUUACCCUCAAGUGCCGAACCAACAGCACCUGCCACCGUCUGGGGGCCAGUAUCCGCAAUGAUGGGGCCCCGAAUCUACAUGCCACGGUCUGCAGGAACCAAUAAUCGGACUGACGGUAGGAGGAACUAUUUUACCUUUUAUGGUCGAUAUGGGAGCCAGACAUUCAACUGUUAUGACAUUAACACCUGAAAGUUCCCUUACUGCAAAAGGCAUUUCCCUUGUUGGAUUCCGGGGUGAAGAAACUAUCCUGCAAAUGACUACACCCGUACAUACUUAGUGUUUUACACAAACUCUUUUACACUCGUUUGUGUAUGCACCCAAUUGCCCUGUCAACCUGUUGGGGAGGGAUCUUCUCAUCAAAACAGCUCCAACAAUACUGUGCAGCCCGGAUCGACUGAUAUUACAGUUUCCUGAUGGACACACCUACUGUUGUUCCGGUGACGACACAUCAAACAUCUAGAUGCAGGAUUCAGAGCGACAACUACCAAGCAUGACGUGCGCCACCGCCGACAUCUACUGGGCGAAAAUGGACACUGACUCACCCGGAUGGACGGAAGCAGAGACCUUUUGGACUCAAUGGUCGCCGUGGGUUCGUCACCUCAGACCCUAUGAAAUGGUUUCUGAUUGUAUGCAUUACACUCUGUACUAUGACAGGACAGGAGAUGAGGUGUACAGCGAGGCUUUCCAAAAUGUAGAAGGCAACAUCUGGGAACUACAAAUGGGUGACCUGUUCGUGGGAAAACCAGGAGGAAGACAAAGGAAAAUUGAGGUAAUACUCACAGCCACAUAUCCUUUUUACACACGAAGGCAUUAACAUGGCUGAAGGGCUUUUUGAAGGACAGCCUCAUUGCUGUACCCAACGAAUCAUAACAGAUAACACAUUUAGGGAAGAUCUAUAUGGCAUGCCCUUGCAAAAUCCUGA
RNA transcript from Phyllopteryx taeniolatus (common seadragon), 3192 nucleotides. RefSeq lists it as uncharacterized. Lineage: Eukaryota; Metazoa; Chordata; Actinopteri; Syngnathiformes; Syngnathidae. The record is from RefSeq and is a predicted model, not a curated record. The transcript has 2 exons.